AUGUCGAAUAUGGGGAAGCCAUUAUUUUACUUGAAGUUUGCUGCAAAAGAACUUAAUAGGAAUGCCAAGAAAUGUGAUAAAGAAGAAAAGGCUGAAAAGGCCAAGAUUAAAAGGCUAUUCAGAAAGGCAAUAAGGAAGCUGCAAGAAUACAUGCUGAAAAUGCAAUCCACCAGAAAAAUCAAGCAAUUGAUUUCUUAAGAAUGAGUGCUAGAGUUGGUGCUGUGGCAGUCAGAGUUCAAAAUGCAGUAACAAUGGGCAGGGUAACAAGUCCAUGUGAGGCAUAGUUAAGUCUGUGGGUGCUUCAUUGAGGAGUAGAACCUUGAAAAGGUGAAAAAAAAAAGAAUUAUGUUCAGAUAGCAUCUUUUCAGUGUAAGUUUUUCUGAUAACCACAUUUAUUUUUACAGACUUCUGCCUUGAUGAACAAAUUCAAACACCAGUUUGAAACACUGGAUAUUCAAACACAACAAAUGGAAGAUAAAAUGAGUAGCUCUACAACCCUAAUAACACCACAAUUCUUAUUCUAGAACCAAAUGGAUAUGCUGCUUCAGGAAAUGGCAGAUGAAGGUAGCCUUGAUCUCAAUAUGCAACUACCACAGGGUCAGAUAGAUUCUCUUGGCACAAAUGUUGCUUCCAUGGAACAGGAUAAACUAUCACAGAGACUUGCUCUUCUCCAUGAUUGAAUGUAA
Molecule: small RNA, 686 nt
Filed under: Pan troglodytes (chimpanzee)
Lineage: Eukaryota; Metazoa; Chordata; Mammalia; Primates; Hominidae
Description: transcribed unitary pseudogene
Source: RNAcentral